UAGCUUGCUACCAGGCGUCGAGUGGCGGACGGGUGAGUAAUGCAUAGGAAUCUACCUAAUAGUGGGGGACAACCUGGUGAAAACCAGGCUAAUACCGCAUAAUCCCUACGGGGCAAAGCAGGGGACCUUCGGGCCUUGCGCUAAUAGAUGAGCCUAUGUCGGAUUAGCUUGUUGGUGAGGUAAUGGCUCACCAAGGCGACGAUCCGUAGCUGGUCUGAGAGGAUGAUCAGCCACACUGGGACUGAGACACGGCCCAGACUCC
This 262-nucleotide ribosomal RNA is filed under the name unidentified marine bacterioplankton. RNAcentral describes it as "partial 16S ribosomal RNA". It matches the Rfam family "Bacterial small subunit ribosomal RNA", at positions 76 to 339 of the family's 1533-position model. RNAcentral also lists the same sequence under 1 other name. The record is from RNAcentral.